This 717-nucleotide ribosomal RNA is filed under the name uncultured bacterium. RNAcentral describes it as "bacterial SSU rRNA". It matches the Rfam family "Bacterial small subunit ribosomal RNA", at positions 8 to 770 of the family's 1533-position model. The record is from RNAcentral.
AGAGUUUGAUCAUGGCUCAGAACGUACGCUGGCGGCACGCCUAACACAUGCAAGUCGAACGAAGUAGCAAUACUUAGUGGCAGACGGGUGAGUAACAUGUAGGUAUCUGCCCUUUGGCCUGGAAUAACACGAGGAAACUUGUGCUAAUACCGGAUAAGUCUUUACGGAGAAAGCUUUAUGCACCAUUGGAUGAGCCUGCACUUGAUUAGUUUGUUGAUGGGGUAAUGGCCUACCAAGACUGUGAUCAAUAGCUGAUUUGAGAGGAUGAUCAGCCACAUUGGGACUGAGACACGGCCCAAACUCCUACGGGAGGCAGCAGUGGGGAAUCUUGCACAAUGGAGGAAACUCUGAUGCAGCGAUGCCGCGUGAGUGAAGAAGGCCCUUGGGUUGUAAAGCUCUUUCGUCGGGGAAGAAAAUGACUGUACCCGAAUAAGAAGGUCCGGCUAACUUCGUGCCAGCAGCCGCGGUAAUACGAAGGGACCUAGCGUAGUUCGGAAUUACUGGGCUUAAAGAGUUCGUAGGUGGUUGAAAAAGUUAGUGGUGAAAUCCCAGAGCUUAACUCUGGAACUGCCAUUAAAACUUUUCAGCUAGAGUAUGAUAGAGGAAAGCAGAAUUUCUAGUGUAGAGGUGAAAUUCGUAGAUAUUAGAAAGAAUACCAAUUGCGAAGGCAGCUUUCUGGAUCAUUACUGACACUGAGGAACGAAAGCAUGGGUAGCG